UACAGAGGUGGCAAGCGUUGUUCGGAAUUACUGGGCGUAAAGGGCGCGUAGGCGGCCUUCUAAGUCAGACGUGAAAUCCCCCGGCUUAACCUGGGAACUGCGUCUGAUACUGGGAGGCUUGAGUAUGGGAGAGGGAUGUAGAAUUCCAGGUGUAGCGGUGAAAUGCGUAGAUAUCUGGAGGAAUACCGGCGGCGAAGGCGGCAUCCUGGACCAUAACUGACGCUGAGGCGCGAAAGCUAGGGGAGCAAACGGG
RNAcentral lists this ribosomal RNA (253 nucleotides) under uncultured bacterium. RNAcentral's name for it is "partial 16S ribosomal RNA". It matches the Rfam family "Bacterial small subunit ribosomal RNA", at positions 524 to 776 of the family's 1533-position model. The record is from RNAcentral.